Molecule: non-coding RNA, 267 nt
Filed under: Clostridium sp.
Lineage: Bacteria; Bacillati; Bacillota; Clostridia; Eubacteriales; Clostridiaceae
Source: RNAcentral
AAGGGAAUGUGGUAUAUGCCACAGCAGCCCCCGCUACUGUAAUCAUAGACGAAUGAUUUGUAGGUAUAUGGUGGAACCACCGUAAAACUAAUCUAUUUAUGUUCUAAAAUCCUAAUUUUUAAGGAAUUAUGUACAUAUAUAGAUUUUACUUGAGCUGGUUUCAAUGAGUAUAUCUUUAACGCCACUCAUUUUUAAGGUGAUUUCUAUAGUAAUUAUCUUAAUUUGGGGAAGGUAAAUCAUGAGGAUGAAGUGAAAGCCAGGAUAUCU